RNAcentral lists this ribosomal RNA (223 nucleotides) under Kluyveromyces lactis. RNAcentral's name for it is "partial 26S ribosomal RNA". It matches the Rfam family "Eukaryotic large subunit ribosomal RNA", at positions 298 to 529 of the family's 3401-position model. Lineage: Eukaryota; Fungi; Ascomycota; Saccharomycetes; Saccharomycetales; Saccharomycetaceae. The record is from RNAcentral.
GGUAAAUUCCAUCUAAAGCUAAAUAUUGGCGAGAGACCGAUAGCGAACAAGUACAGUGAUGGAAAGAUGAAAAGAACUUUGAAAAGAGAGUGAAGAAGUACGUGAAAUUGUUGAAAGGGAAGUGCAUUUGAUCAGACAUGGCGUUUGCUUCGGCUAUCGCUGGGCCAGCAUCAGUUUUAGCGGUUGGAUAAAUCCUCGGGAAUGUGGCUCUGCUUCGGUAGAG